GCCCUUGUAGCUUAGUGGUAGAGCGUUGCACUUGUACCAUCACGAGGCAUGCAAAGGUCGGCGGUUCAAUUCCGCUCGGGGGCA
RNAcentral lists this transfer RNA (84 nucleotides) under Dactylonectria estremocensis. Its description in RNAcentral is "Ilyonectria sp. 3 AC-2011 tRNA". It matches the Rfam family "tRNA". From Rfam's summary of the family: Transfer RNA (tRNA) molecules are approximately 80 nucleotides in length. Lineage: Eukaryota; Fungi; Ascomycota; Sordariomycetes; Hypocreales; Nectriaceae. The record is from Rfam by way of RNAcentral.